GACGAACGCUGGCGGCGUGCCUAAUACAUGCAAGUAGAACGCUGAAGGGGGAGCUUGCUCUUCUGGAUGAGUCGCGCACGGGUGAGUAACGCGUGGAUAACCUGGCUGGUAGGGGGGGAUAACUGUUGGAAACGAUAGAUAAUACCGCAUACCAGUAGAUGUUGCAUGAGAAUUACUUAAAAGGAGCAAUUGCAUCAAUACCAGAUGGACCUUCGUUGUAAUAGGGUGAUUGUUGGGUAACGGCCCACCCAGGCGACGAUUCAUAGCCGACGUGAGAGGGGGGUCCGCCACCCCGAGACUGGGGCACCGCCCCGACCUCCUCGGGGGGCAGCCGUAGGGGAUCUUCGGCCAUUGACGGAAGUCUGACCGCGCAACUCCGCGUUGGUGAAGAAGGGUCUCGGGUCGUUAAGCUCCGUUGUGUGGGAAGAACGAGUGUUAGAGUGGAAAGUUCACACUGUGACGUUAUCUUACCAGAAAGGGACGGCUAACUACGUG
RNAcentral lists this ribosomal RNA (495 nucleotides) under uncultured bacterium. RNAcentral describes it as "partial 16S ribosomal RNA". It matches the Rfam family "Bacterial small subunit ribosomal RNA", at positions 28 to 507 of the family's 1533-position model. The record is from RNAcentral.